RNAcentral lists this ribosomal RNA (1158 nucleotides) under Triticum aestivum (bread wheat). RNAcentral's name for it is "partial small subunit ribosomal RNA". Lineage: Eukaryota; Viridiplantae; Streptophyta; Magnoliopsida; Poales; Poaceae. The record is from RNAcentral.
AUGGUUGCUAGCAAUUUCAGUCCGACCGAGCAGCAAAUCGAUAAGCAGCCCACGUUCGUUGAGCUGGUGCGUGGCACUGACCGGUGUAAACUGGCUGAUCUGCACACGGAAAAAGUUAAGGCACUCUUGAUUUACGAUCCCAAGAGGAAAGCUGUAGUCCCUAGCCGUUUCUGCAGCUUCCACCUGGCCAGCUUCGACCAUGAUGAAGAAACAAAAGUUCCACUUGGGCCACCAUAUGAAUCUGAUGCGGCUGAUAUGGCGGGUUCAUCCAUCAAUGUCAUCUCCUUGAGGGUUGUUAAAGCUGGCCCUGAGCACACAUACCCGGUCGAGGUUUAUGGUAGAGUUAUUGCGAGGGAUGAGGUUGACUACAAAUCUGUCUUUCUGUUUGAUCGUGAAAGGAAGGAUGCCCAGUUCAUCAAUUCGGAGAAAGAUAUGUUAGCUCUGACAGGUCCACGCCGAGCAUUGGUUACUGAUGGCUUGAUGUGUUUCGAGUUCGAUUUAAAGGUCAAGGGCAAGGGUGGGCCUGAUCGUGAUGUACAGUUCAGCAAAGCUAGUGUUGAAGUCAGUCUUGUGAAAAAACAACAGCUUGGUGAUCGUGCUGAACACUUCAACGGUAAAAUAACAGUUGGGACUACUAGAAAUUAUAGACAGCAUAUGGUUGUUUAUUAUAGUAGUCUGCCUAGUGGGGACUUGGUGACGGAAACUGGCUCCCUUGUGUUGGAUCGUAACCUGUUAGCUGUCCCGCGGCGUAUACGAGACAACACACUCAAGGGAGAUGAACAAGAGACGAUCUAUGUGUGUUUUCUUGGUGCUGGUUCUGAGAUUGAGGAUGAGGAUUAUAUCAGGCCUGAGGAAGAAGAUGAAGAUGAGGAUGACAUUACGUCUGACGAAGAAGGCAGAGAGGAACCUGAUGAAAUGGAAAGCGCGGGUGCAGAGGAGGACGGGGACGACCCUACUAAUCUUGUUGCUCUCAAAUACCCUCUGAGUGAGACUCUGUGCGAAUACGGCUUCCUCAAGCUGAAAGUGAAGGUUCAUUGGACUGCUAUCAUUGAGGCGCCGCUGCAUGGUGAAUUCUUGACAAGAUUGGGUGUCCUCCCAGAAGGUUAUAAGUUGCCUGAUUAUCGACGGGGUUCGGCCGAUGGUUCUUUCUGUGAGUGA